UGUUUCCGGCCGCUGGGUGGGGCUGUGGGGUUGCUCCUUCUGCGCAGGCCCCGGGGGCGUUUCGCGCUGGCAUCAUGUCGCCGCCGCCAUUAGCGCUCCGCUCCCGGGCGGCUCUGCCUCGUCGGGGCCCGGAAGGGGGUUCGGGGCGAAUCGAGGCCUCGAAGAUGGUCGCCCCGUCGUAGGGGGAGCCUCCCCCGGCGGGCGGCUGGGGGCCGGUGGCGGAGCGCUUAGUAGAGUGCCGCGCGCGCGGCAGGCGCUCCAUGAUGGCGUCCGUGGCUGAGGACAGGCCCUGCCGCGGGGCCGGGGGCAAACAGCGGACGGACGCACAAGGAUCUGGGUGCCCAUCCUGAGAGCCAGAACUGCGAGUGGUGUCCUCCAGCAUACAGGCAAGU
Long non-coding RNA from Ornithorhynchus anatinus (platypus), 392 nucleotides. RefSeq lists it as uncharacterized. NCBI's taxonomy places the organism in Eukaryota, Metazoa, Chordata, Mammalia, Monotremata, Ornithorhynchidae. The transcript is spliced from 3 exons. The record is from RefSeq and is a predicted model, not a curated record.